RNAcentral lists this unclassified non-coding RNA (552 nucleotides) under Zea mays. RNAcentral describes it as "misc RNA Zm00001eb005910". The record is from RNAcentral. Lineage: Eukaryota; Viridiplantae; Streptophyta; Magnoliopsida; Poales; Poaceae.
CAGCCAUUCGGUGUGUCCUUGGCCGCCCUCGAGGUCGAGCAGCUUGACGGCGACGGGCUGCGCGGCGAGCCCCCGCUUGGUCUUGUCGUCGACGUAGCCCCUGUAGACGGGGCCGAAGCCGCCCUCGCCGAUGAAGUGGGUCAUGGAGAAGUCGCGGGUGACGGCGCGCAGCUCGGCGAUGGUGAAGACGUGGAGGUUGGAGCCGACGAGCGAGAGCGACAGGUCCUCGGGCGACACCAUCCCGCUGAGGCUCAGCUCCGUGAACGACAUCCGGCUCUGCAGCGACCGCGGCCGGCUACCGCCGCCGCUCCCCGCCGCUACCUUCUGCUGCUGCUUGCUCUUCUGCUUCUUCUUCAUCUUAUUCCCGGCGCCCUUUCCCUUGCCCUUGCCCUGCUUCUUCUUACCGUCCCCGCGGGAGCUGCUGCUGCUGCUGAAGCAGCCGAACAGCGAGCCCCACCCCGGCCUCGCCAUGCCCGGCCGGCCGCGUCUAGUCUAGGUCGGUUGGUCGGUCGCCGGAUGGAGAUGGAGGGACUCCGCGCGCUGCGACGGUUU